UACAAAUUUUGUCUUAUACGACUUUGUUUUACACAAUUAAAGCUUGGGCGACUUCCGUGUCUUGGGUUACAUUGAAAUGAUUCCGACCAGAAACAGUUUUUACUAUUAAAUGGCCGCCCCACGUACACAUAUUAGGUAUGCUAAUGCUCUUAUGAUGACAUCCAUACCUUUUCUGUCGGGUUUGGUACAUCUUUUCACCAGCCUUAUGGAGUCUUUGACGAACUGCCUGCUCGGCUCAACAAACUGCAUGACCUGAUCCAUGGUGCUUGAGGUUUUCUUUGCUGGAGACAAACGGGAAAGGUGAUGCCAAGCAUGUUGCAGCUUCUGUCCCACAGCUUCUGGGCCACAUCGUCAUCAGAGGCCGUUCUGGAGCACCUCGCAGGGGCGCAAUCGCUGCAAGCACAUGAACGUGACUGUCACACACAACCCAAAGUGUGUCUGGGAGAAGCAUUCUGGAUGUACCUGAAGUAGCCACCACUCUGACUCUCCAGGCCAGGCUGCACGGCGCAGAAGAUGGUGGUCUGAGCCCCCUCCACCGUCGUCUUGGUGAAAAUCCUGAAGAUCUUCACAGCCACCUGGAUACACUGGUGCUGGUGUCUCCACAGGCUUUCAUGGUGUCGUAGCUGCUCUCGCUGUUGAGGUCUUCCAGUUGGAUGCCGGUCCAGGUGUGAGCCACCGACGCCACCACGACAAUCCGAGCCGGAGCUGACCACUUGAUCAAGUCCAGCAGCAGAUCCCUGCACGCCAUGAUGAUGCGGGCGCCUCAAGAGGAAAAAAAGGUCGUCAAAGUGGAUCCGGCCCAUGGUGUGAGCGAUGGAGGAGAGGUUGAUGACCCGGGAAGGGGCGGAGUGCUUUAGCAAGUCCAGUAGCAAGAAGGUAAGGAAAAAAUGACCUGGGGACAAAUGGUGAGGGUUUGAUUCUGCAUUAUUUUACGUAUGCUAGUAUCUGAUUGUCUUAGAGCUAACAUUUUUAUUGGACUCUAAUUAUCCCCAUUUACAUUAAGCCCAUAAAACAACAUCUAAAUUAAACCAACAUCUCGAAGUCAAUAACUUCAUGUUCUGUUUUGUCUAAGGAAUUUCUUAAGGUGCUCACCAAAAAGCUAACUUUUACCCGUCCAAACUCAAACACAGACUGAACACGGACUUUUAAAAAAUCUCCAUUCUGGCCGGAGUUUUCCAAAAGCUACGUCUUUAAGGACAAAAGGGUUGAAAGGAUUCGGGAAGACCCAGGAGACGCUGGAGAGAUGCCGGGAAACCCGGGCUUCUUGUAUUCGGUUCAGAGCUUAGCACCGGAUACUCGCUACCCCAGAACUUUGAUCUUGUACGAUUAUCUGAUUGGGGUUCUACACAGAUUGAGUUCUGCGAAUGUCGAUACCAAGAACCAUUGAUGGUUAAGGGGCUUAACUGAUCCCCGAUCCAUCAACCGACUGAUCGACUUUAGACCACUAUCCCUAACCCUAGUUUUUGCAAAUGUCUGACCAAGUAAUUGAUUCCAAUUCCCAACCAGGAGGAGUUUUUGUGUAAUCUUUCAAACUGACUGACGACUGAUCAACCUAUCGACUGACCAAACCCGAUCCCUAAGACCUAAACCCUGCCCUCCUACCCUAGUCCUUGAUUCCAGGCUGAAACCAACCACUGUGGUAAAGCUAACUGAUUGACGACUGAUCAACUUUCCGACUAUCGACUGACCAAACUUGAUCCCGAAGAAAUUCCAAUUCCCAACCAGGAGGAGUUUUUGUGUAAUCUUUCGAACUGAUUGACGACUGAUCAACCUAUCGACUGACCAAACUCGAUCCGUAAGAAAUUCCGAUUCCCAACCAGGAGGAGUUUUUGUGUAAUCUUUCGAGCUGACUGAUGACUGAUCAACCUAUCGACUGACCAAACUCGAUCCCUAAGACCUAAACCCUACCCUCCUACCCUAGUCCUUGAUUCCAGGCUGAAACCAACCACUCUGGUAAAGCUAACUGAUUGACGACUGAUCAACUUUCCGAUUAUCGACUGACCAAACUUGAUCCCUAAAAAAUUCCGAUUCCCAACCAGGAUGAGUUUUUGUGUAAUCUUUCGAACUGAUUGACGACUGAUCAACUUUCUGACUAUCAACUGACCAAACUUGAUCUCUAAGAAAUUCCGAUUCCCAACCAUGAGGAGUUUUGUGUAAUCUUUCGAACUGACAGACGACUGAUCAACCUAUCGACUGACCAAACUCGAUCCCUAAGACCUAAACCUUACCCUCCUACACCUAGUAUUUGAUUCCAGGCUGAAACCAACCACUGUGGUAAAGCUAACUGAUUGACGACUGAUCAACUUUCCGAUUCUCGACUGACCAAACUUGAUCCCGAUUCCGAUGCCCAACCAGGAAGAGUUUUUGUGUAAUCUUUCUUAACUGACUGACGACUACAAUAUAUCGACUGACCAAACUUGAUCCCUAAUAAAUUCUGAGUCCAAACCAGGAGGAGUUUUUGUGUAAUCUUUCAAACUGAUUGACGACUGAUCAACCUACCGACUGACCAAACUUGAUCCCUUAUACAUUCCGAUUCUCAACCAGGAGGAGUUUUUGUGUAAUCUUUCUUAACUGACUGACGACUGAUCAACCUAUUGACUGACCAAACUCGAUCCCUAAGACCGAAACCCUGCCCUCAUACCCAAGUCCUUGAUUCCAGGCUGAAACCAACCACUGUGGUAAAGCUAACUGAUUGACGACUGAUCAACUUUCUGACUAUCGACUGACCAAACCUGAUCCCUAAGACCUAAACCUUGCCCUCCUACCCAAGUCCUUGAUUGAAACCAACCACUGUGGUAAAGCUAACCAAUUGACGACUUGCCAAAUGCCGAAUCUCAGACCUUGAUCUUGGCGUUCUACCAAAGUAAUUGAGUCGAAACCGCGACCACCCACUGUGACAGAGAUCUGAGGCACAGGUUUUGCAUAAUCUUGCUGACCAAACCCCGAUCCUAAGACCUCGAUGUUGGCGUCCUACCCAAGUGAUUGACUCCGAACUGCAUCUCAUAUCCAUCCACCGUGGUAGCAUAAGGACAAAUAGCCACGCCGGCGUUGUUGAUCAAGUAGUGCAACGCCUUCUCGCCUGGAAAACACACGAGUCCCCCAUCAACACGUCACCUUUACUGCAGUACUAUCACAGUAUUAAGUACACGAGUGCCACCUACUGUUGUAGAUUUUCUCUGCAAACUGGCAGAUGGAUUUAGUGUCGGCCAAAUCCAGUUGCCUGACAAUGACCUUUGGGCACGGCACCUCCCUCAUGAUGUCUUUGGCCGCCUGCUCGGCUUUGGCAAUGUCCCGGCACGCCAGGAUCACUCGUGCACCUGGGAAUAGGUCAAGACGAGUGCGGUUAUGUCAUUCCGAGAUGAAAGAUUCCGAGAUAUGCGGCUUGCCUCUAGCAGCUAGGUCUUUAGCCGUCUCUUUUCCGAUUCCUGUGUUGCCCCCCGUUACUAUCGCUGUCUUCCCGUCCAGCCGCACGUCGGACGACCAUUUUGGGAUAAACAGAGACCUGACAGGUAAGAAACAACAACAGAGUCUUUAUUUUCAUUUGUAUUAAAGUUACUAGCAACUCAAAAUCUGCUAUUUCAUGUCUAAAAAGGUGACUAUAGGGGUGCUAUUUCAUGUCUAGAAGGCUCUAAUAAUGUUUAAAAAAACUGUGUUUAGAGGGUUUAUAUGCUCUAAAAAGGUGACUAUAGGGGUGCUAUUUCAUGUCUAGAAGGCUCUAAUAAUGUUAAAAAAAACUGUUUAAAGGGUUUUAUAUGCUCUAAAAAGGUGACUAUAGGGGUGCUAUUUCAUGUCUAGAAGGCUCUAAUAGUAUUUUAAAAAAUGUGUUUAGAGGGUUUUAUAUGCUCUGAAAAGGUGACUAUAGGGGUGCUAUUUCAUGUCUAGAAGGCUCUAAUAAUGUUAAAAAACUGUUUAGAGGGUUUUUAUAUGCGCUAAAAAGGUGACUGUAGGGGUGCUAUUUCAUGUCUAGAAGGCUCUAAUGUUCAAAAAAACUGUUUAGAAGGUUUUUAUAUGCUACAAAAAAAGUACAAAAAU
This is a long non-coding RNA of Doryrhamphus excisus (bluestripe pipefish), 4032 nucleotides long. RefSeq lists it as uncharacterized. The record is from RefSeq and is a predicted model, not a curated record. NCBI's taxonomy places the organism in Eukaryota, Metazoa, Chordata, Actinopteri, Syngnathiformes, Syngnathidae.